Molecule: ribosomal RNA, 200 nt
Filed under: uncultured bacterium
Lineage: Bacteria
Description: partial 16S ribosomal RNA
Rfam family: Bacterial small subunit ribosomal RNA
Source: RNAcentral
AUUGAACGCUGGCGGCAUGCCUCACACAUGCAAGUCGAACGGCAGCGCGGGGCAACCUGGCGGCGAGUGGCGAACGGGUGAGUAAUAUAUCGGAACGUACCCUGGAGUGGGGGAUAACGUAGCGAAAGUUACGCUAAUACCGCAUACGAUCUAAGGAUGAAAGUGGGGGAUCGCAAGACCUCAUGCUCCUGGAGCGGCCG